GUUAGUUUCGAAUUUCCAAGAUUUCUGUUUAAAAAAAUAACAAACACUAUCUGAAUAAUUUUUCACUGAAAAUACAAUUUUUUUUAUAUCAAAACAAGUUUUAUCAAUGAAGAAUUCGAACUUUUUACGUCAUCAAUUAAAUUGGACUAAUAUUACAAUAACAUCGGGAUCGAAGUCGGGCUCGAUGAACAAUUAAUUUUAACAACACCGAAAUUCAAAAAUAUCGAAUACCUGUAAAUACCAUGUUGAUGUUCCACAGUAGGAAAGUUGGAAUGAGUGUCACGAACAGGGGGAUCAUGGUCAGCUUGGGAUGGAAGAAGAUGACGACAUUUUUAAGACCGGUAGGUACAAUAUUGUACAGUAUUUUAUGUGUCCUCGAACGAAGAAUGUUUCUGCUAUUUUUGAUUAAUCCGGGCACCAUACAUAAAAUGCCCGACGGUGAAAUCGUUAGGACAAGCACUAUUUCUGUAAUCAUUAUUUAACAAAUCUAUACAUAUCAUUAAGGUCAUUGAUUUUAACCCGAAUUUCCUUGCUUGGAAUCGAACUGAUGUAAAGAAUUUUACCUGUACCUUCCUUUGUUCAAGAUAACAUUUACAGAGUAUGAUGUACAUGUAAUUAAUUAUAUAUUUUGUAAUGCAUGUUCAUGACCAUUUUCAGCUCUUAUCUUGCAUGUUUCGAUUGUUUUAAUAGUUGCUGCAUUGCCUGAGAUGAUUUUCACAGCCCUAGCCUUUGAUAAAAGUGCAUAUACAUGUAGAUGCUUAACCAAUCAGUCACUAGGCUUGUGAAUAUGGAAUCCGGAUGCUCACAAGAGGUAGGACAAGAACUGUGUAAAAAAAUGAAAUUGUGCAAGGGAAGUUUGAAGUGUCUGUUUGAAUGAUCAACAUCGAACUUGCUGAGCCUUCGUACUAAAAGUGAAUCCGUUGGUGAUGCCAAAUAUCUGUCAACCCUCUAUUGCAAAUUUCAUGGGAUAUCUGUGAGGAUGUGAUUCUAGCAACAUGUCAGAAGUUUUGUAUCUUCCAUAAUUGGGAUCUUUGGCACGUACAUUGGUGGAAAAUAGCAACUGUUCAUUUUUAUGGGAUCUUUGUAUCAAUGUAGUUGUAUACUACAUAUAUUUUUGCAUUUAAUACAUGUGUUUGUCACUCUAGUCACUAAUUUUGUACAGUAAAUGUACAUGGGCCACUGGCACUUUAUUGUAAAUGUAUAUCCUCGGCUGUUGAGGUUUCAAUGACCUCUCCCAAUCCUUGGCCAAUGUCAUUUAAUGAA
Saccostrea cuccullata (small rock oyster) is the source of this 1263-nucleotide long non-coding RNA. RefSeq lists it as uncharacterized. The transcript is spliced from 3 exons. The record is from RefSeq and is a predicted model, not a curated record. NCBI's taxonomy places the organism in Eukaryota, Metazoa, Mollusca, Bivalvia, Ostreida, Ostreidae.